UUCCUGAAUGAGGCAGGCUCCUCCCUGGAAAGAUCAGCUGAGGCCUUAAGUAAUAACACUGCCUUCCCCACCCCUGACAUCUCUCUCUCUCUCUCUCUCUCUCUCUUUCUCUCUCUCUCACUAAUAAAAACACACACACACACACACACACACACACACACACGGCUCCCCACCUCAAGCACCCCCUGGGGGUGGCAGCUUUGGCCUUUCUUCACAUCCAACCUCCUGGUGGGAACUGUGGAUGUGGAUUUUGUCAACAACACACUCAAAUCUUGAAAAGCUAAGUGAGAGGGGUGUGGAGGGGUAUGGAGAGAGAGUAGAGAGGGGGAAGCGGGAAGUCAGUGAGGCAGGGAAGAGAGGAGCAGAAGACAGGAUCCUGGCCAGGUAAAGAAGAAACACUUGCAAAAUGUUCCUGCUGCUGCUGGUGAUGGGGACGGCUGUGAGCAGAUGCUUACAUGAUGAGACGCAGAAGUCUGUGACACUUCUCAGGCCCCAUCUCUCCCAACCUGCACCCAGCUUCCGCUUUUCCACCCUCGCCCUGUCUGGCUUCCGUGAGCCUCAGCCCCUACGAAUUCGAACCUACUCUAUCAGAGACCCUGUAUCAGAUGGAGCCUGGGAGCCGGAGGGAGCCAGAAUGAGAGGAGGACCACAAGCCCUGGCCCUGGCCGCAGCCAGACAGGCUGCUCAGCAACUCCAGGGGAUGCUCACAGGUGAGUGGGGAGGCAACAGGGAGGGCUGAGGAGCAGAGGGUAAGGGAGGAAGAUGACUAGAGGAAAGGAACUCUAAGAUGUUGAGGUGAAAUUGUCGACUCUUUUUAAGUCCCUCCAGUGCAAGGCCCUCUGCUUCUGAGUCGAGACCCCGCACAGUACUGCCACGCUGUUUGGGGGGACCCAGAUGCCCCAAACUACCACAGGUGAGUUCGUGGUGUCAAGAAUGUAUAUACGACCUCUUCAGGGUACCCAAAGAUGGCUCCAGCUCACCUACAGAUACUCACGCUUGGCAGGUGCAGCCUCUUGAACCCAGGGUACCAAGGAGAGAGUUGCCUGGGGGCAAAGAUCCCAGAUGCCCAUCUCCGUGGUUACGCAUUGUGGCCCGAGCACGGUCCCCCACAACUGGUCCAGCCAGAUGGACCCGGGGUCCAAGACACGGAUUUUCUCCUGUAUGUGUGGGUGGCCCACACUUCCAAGUGCCGUGGAGAGGUGAGACUCAAAUCAAAUCCUUUUACUUGUUCUGCCUCUCUUAAUUUUAAAUAUCAUGGGAAGGGGGAGAGAGCACAAAGGCAGCUUUUAUUAACUUGUGAUUAUUGGAGGUG
This 1312-nucleotide long non-coding RNA is filed under the name Mustela putorius furo (domestic ferret). RNAcentral describes it as "lncRNA (ENSMPUG00000029908.1)". Lineage: Eukaryota; Metazoa; Chordata; Mammalia; Carnivora; Mustelidae. The record is from RNAcentral.